UUUUAAAUUUCAAAUUUCCUUUUUUCACUGCUGGUAUAUAGGAAAGUGCUUGACUUCUGUAUAUUAACCUCAUAUCCUACAAAGUUGCUAUAAUCAUUUAUUAGUUCCCAGAGGUUUUUGGGGGGUCAGCUUUUACAGAUUUUCUAUAUAGACAAUUAUAUCAUCUGUGAACACUGACAGUUUUAUUUCCUCCUCAAUCUGUAUACCUUUUAUUUCCUUUUCCUGUGUUAUUACAUUUGCUAGCACUUCUAGUAUGAUGUUGAAAAGCAGUAGGGAGUGGGGACAUCCUUGCCUUAUUCAUGAUCUUAGUGGAAAAGCUUCUAGUUUCUCACUGUUAAGUGUGAUGUUAGCUGUAGGUUUUUGUAGAUAUUUAUCAUGUUGAGGAAUUUCCCCUCUAUUUCUAGUUUAAUGAAAUAUUUAGAGUGGGUGUUGACCUUUGUCAGAUGACUCUUAACGCAUCUACUGAUAUGAUCAUGUGCUUUUUCCUUUUUAGCCUGUGGAUGUGGUAGACUACAUUAAUGGGUUCUCAAAUGUUUAAUCAAACUUGCAUACUUGGGAUAAAUCUCACUUGGUUUUUGAGGCUGAUGUGUUCUUGUACCCCCCAAUUUCAUAUGUUGAAAUCCUAUCCCCCAAGAUGAUGGUAUUAGGAGGGAGGGCCUUUAGGGGAUGAUUAGGUGGUGCCCUCAUGAUUGGGAUUAGUGCCCUUAUAAAAAAGAACUCAGAGAAUUAGCUAGUCCUUUUCACCAUGUGAGGACACAGUAAGAAGGUGCAACCUAUGAAUCAGAAGUCAGGACCUUAUACACGGUAUCUGCCUGUGCCUUGGUCUUGCACUUCCCAGCCUCUAGAACUGUGCAAAAUAACAUUUCUGUUGCUUUUAAACUACCUAGUCUCUAGUAUUUUUUUUUUUUUUUUUUACAGCAAGCUGAACAGGCUAACUGUGGUGUGUAGUUUUUUUUUUUUUUUUUGUCUUUUUGCCUUUUCUAGGGCUGCUCCUGCGUUGUAUGGAGGUUCCCAGGAGCAGCCCAAGAAAAUGGCAAAAAGACAAAAAAAAAAAAAAAAAAAAAAAAAAAAACCAAAAAACCAUUAAAACUUUGCCGUAAUAUUGUAAAGUUAAUGGAAAAUAUUAUUUAAUCACAAAAAGCACAAAAGUAAUGUUAGUGAAAUUUAAAAAUAUAUGCAACUGACCCUAUAUUUAUCUGAGAAAGUACCAAAUGGUUACAAGGCAGUCACUUUCUAGCUAUUCCCUACCCCUAAAGUUUAGUUUGCCAGGGCUCCUCUUUCCUCAUUAAUUCUUUCCAGCACCACGAGGGGUUGAAUCAGAGCUAAAGAUUUCUGCUUUUUCUUUCUUUCUUUUUUUUUUUUUUCUCUCUCUCUUAACAACUGCUUUCUACUUGAUUUCCUGGCUUCUUGCUGCUUGCAUGUAUAGGUUAAGAAUCAGCAUACUAUCCUGAGGGAAAACAGUAUGUGGAGUGUUUGACUCCUUUUCCUGUGAUUGCCUUUCUUCUGGGAUCUUAGCCCUAGCUGCCCUGAUAGACGACCUCCAAAAUUUGUAUCUCCAGCCCAGUCAGGCUGUUGAACGCUCUAGGAUUUCUCUCUGGUUUCUAUACUCCCAGACAAAUCAGCAAUGCUUUGAGGAGGAAAUGUGGCUGAGAAUGGGGGGAUCACCUCACAGUGUUUCCCUCCUUGCUGGGCCCUAGGGACUCUCAAGCCUUGGCUGCCUGGGUUGCUGUAAAAUAGGCUUAAAGAGCCUUUAUUUUAUUUUAUUAUUUUAUUUUAUUUCACUUUAUUUUUAAUGCAGUUUUAAUAGUUCUUAGUGCGGAGUUCCCGUCGUGGCGCAGCAGAAACGGAUCCGACUAGGAACCAUGAGGUUGCGUGUUCAACCCCUGGCCUCGCUCAGUGGGUUAAGGAUCCAGCGUUGCCAUCCAUGAGCUGUGGCGUAGGUCGAAGACGUGGCUCGGAUCUGUCAUUGCUGUGGCUCUGGUGUAGGCCCAGCAGCUGUAAUUCUGAUUCUACCUCUAGCUUGGGAACCUCCAUAUGCCGGGGGUGCAGCCCUAAGAAGACCAAAAAAAAAAAAAAAAAAANAAAAAA
This 2088-nucleotide long non-coding RNA is filed under the name Sus scrofa (pig). RNAcentral's name for it is "lncRNA (ENSSSCG00045032725.1)". The record is from RNAcentral. Lineage: Eukaryota; Metazoa; Chordata; Mammalia; Artiodactyla; Suidae.